This 529-nucleotide unclassified non-coding RNA is filed under the name Hevea brasiliensis (rubber tree). Lineage: Eukaryota; Viridiplantae; Streptophyta; Magnoliopsida; Malpighiales; Euphorbiaceae. The record is from RNAcentral.
AUUUUGCUUUUGUUGAUUUACUUUCAUUUUCAUUAAUUUUGUUUUUAUCUUAAAUUUCCUCAAAUUCAAUUUUUGACAUUAUUAAAUCUUGUCCCUUGUAGAUGUAUAUCAAUGAAGAAAGGCUGGUGAACUAUUGGGAGCUGCAAUCUGGUUAUUGCAGAGGAAAAAUGCAAUCUGCAGAAAAGGAAAAGUCUGCAGCAGAUAGAUUCUGUCCUUGAGCUGCAAUCUGGUUUAUGCAGAGAGGAAGAAGAAAUUCUGCAGCAAAGAGGGUGUUUGCAGCAGAUGGCUUGUGUUUUUGGUGAGGUUGGGUGUGAGACUUUUAAGUAUGUGUGAUUUUAAUCUUAAUAUGGUGGUAAGUGAGUCAUUUUUGCAGUUUUGAGCUUCUUUGGGUUGUAGGAUUCAAGGUAAAAAUGCUGCAUUUUCUUGGCAAAACUUGGAGACUUCAUUUCAUCAUUUGUGGUUAGAUGCAACUUCAUGCAAAUUUUAUGGAGUUUUAUGUGCUAAAUGUUGAUUUGCAGAAUUUGAGUCA